GCUUUACUGUAACUUGAAAUUGGUUUCGGGUUUUAUUUGCGCAGCAUAGGUGGGAGGCUUUGAUGUUAGUCUUACGGGAUUAAUGGAGCCAUCAGUGAGAUACCACUCUAAUAAAACUAGAACUCUAACCCUAUACCGUUAGCCGGUUAGGGGACAGUUUCAGGCGGGCAGUUUGACUGGGGCGGUCGCCUCCUAAAAGGUAACGGAGGCGUACAAAGGUUUCCUCAGAUCGGUCAGAAAUCGAUCGUAGAGUGCAAAGGCAAAAGGAAGCUUGACUGUGAGACCUACAAGUCGAACAGAGACGAAAGUCGGUCUUAGUGAUCUGGCGAUAUUGAGUGGAA
RNAcentral lists this ribosomal RNA (341 nucleotides) under Leathesia marina. RNAcentral's name for it is "partial 23S ribosomal RNA". It matches the Rfam family "Bacterial large subunit ribosomal RNA", at positions 2098 to 2438 of the family's 2925-position model. Lineage: Eukaryota; Phaeophyceae; Ectocarpales; Chordariaceae. The record is from RNAcentral.